RNAcentral lists this ribosomal RNA (255 nucleotides) under uncultured bacterium. RNAcentral describes it as "partial 16S ribosomal RNA". It matches the Rfam family "Bacterial small subunit ribosomal RNA", at positions 524 to 777 of the family's 1533-position model. The record is from RNAcentral.
UACGAAGGGGGCUAGCGUUGCUCGGAAUCACUGGGCGUAAAGGGUGCGUAGGCGGGUCUUUAAGUCAGAGGUGAAAUCCUGGAGCUCAACUCCAGAACUGCCUUUGAUACUGAGGAUCUUGAGUUCGGGAGAGGUGAGUGGAACUGCGAGUGUAGAGGUGAAAUUUCGUAGAUAUUCGCAAGAACACCAGUGGCGAAGGCGGCUCACUGGCCCGAUACUGACGCUGAGGCACGAAAGCGUGGGGAGCAAACAGGG